Molecule: ribosomal RNA, 504 nt
Filed under: bacterium GFCr-1
Lineage: Bacteria
Description: bacterial SSU rRNA
Rfam family: Bacterial small subunit ribosomal RNA
Source: RNAcentral
AGAGUUUGAUCCUGGCUCAGGACGAACGCUGGCGGCGUGCUUAACACAUGCAAGUCGAACGGUGAAGCCCAGCUUGCUGGGUGGAUCAGUGGCGAACGGGUGAGUAACACGUGAGUAACCUGCCCCUGACUCUGGGAUAAGCCUUGGAAACGAGGUCUAAUACCGGAUACGUGACGCUCAGGCAUCUGAUGCGUCUGGAAAGAUUUAUCGGUCAGGGAUGGACUCGCGGCCUAUCAGCUUGUUGGUGGGGUAACGGCCUACCAAGGCGACGACGGGUAGCCGGCCUGAGAGGGCGACCGGCCACACUGGGACUGAGACACGGCCCAGACUCCUACGGGAGGCAGCAGUGGGGAAUAUUGCACAAUGGGCGCAAGCCUGAUGCAGCGACGCCGCGUGAGGGAUGAAGGCCUUCGGGUUGUAAACCUCUUUCAGCAGGGAAGAAGCGCAAGUGACGGUACCUGCAGAAGAAGCGCCGGCUAACUACGUGCCAGCAGCCGCGGUAAU